CUCCUUCUGAAGAGGAUAGAAGGUAGGCCCUGCCCAAUGCUUAACUGUUAAUGGCCGCAGUACUUUGACUGUGCUAAGGUAGCAUAAUGGUUUGGCUCUUAAUUGGAGUCUGGAAUGAAAGGGUUGACGUGUUCUCAGCUUUCUUUGGAGGAAGUUUGGAAGUUUGGCUUCAGGUUAAAACCCCUGAAUGUGUGGGAGGGACGAUAAGACCCUAUAGAUCUAUAUCCCUCUCCUCAAAAAUAGAGUGAAAGGGAGGUUGUUUGGGAGGAAAUGAAAUAUUGUGAACAUUCGAGAAAAAGAAGAUUGAUUGAUCGAACUGACGAUCCCUGAAAAGGAGAAAAAGAAAAGUUACCUUAGGGAUAACAGCAUGAUCCUCCCUUCCAGUUCUUAUGGAAGGGGGGGGUUAUGACCUCGAUGUUGAAUUGAGUUGCUCCUCUUUACGCAAAAAGAAGAAGGGUUAGUCUGUUCGACUACUAAGAACU
This 482-nucleotide ribosomal RNA is filed under the name Quadraceps sp. KY-2002. RNAcentral describes it as "partial 16S ribosomal RNA". It matches the Rfam family "Bacterial large subunit ribosomal RNA", at positions 1823 to 2596 of the family's 2925-position model. Lineage: Eukaryota; Metazoa; Arthropoda; Insecta; Psocodea; Philopteridae. The record is from RNAcentral.